GUGGUGAGCCAAGACCAUGCCACUGCACUCUAGCUUGUGUGACAGAAUGAGACUCUGUCUCAAAAAAAAUCAAAUAAAUAAAUAAAAAUAAAUAAAAUGCAGAUAAGGCUGGGUGUGGUGGAACACACUUAUAAUCCUAGUAGUUUACGAGGUUGAGAUGGAAGGAUUACUUGAGGCCAGGAAUUCAAGGCUGCAGUGACCUAUGAUGGCACCACUGCACUCCAGCCUGGGUGACACAGUGACACUCUGUCUGUAAAAUAAAUAAACAUACAAAAUGCAGAUAACUGGGCCUCCAGAAUUUCUGAUUCCACAGGUGCAAGGUGGGGCCCUUGAACUUGCAUUUUGAGCAAGCCACAGUCCUGCGGAGGACUGGUUGUGAAGCUGCCAGCAUUGUCUGAGGACAGCAAGGACCCUUGGAUGGAUCAAGCCUCAGCCCCUGUCUACGAGAGCUUUAAGCUUUAAGUGAGAGCUCCCCAUGGCCGAGAGCUUCCUUCUGAAUUCCUGUUGCUAGGAAUUCCAAAGUCACAUUGAAGUCCCAACCCCUAGUAGCUCAGAAUGUGACCUUAGUUGGAGGCAGGGUCUUCACGGAGGUAAUCAAGUUAAAACGAGAUGGGCGAAUCCUGAUCCAAUAGAACUGGUUUCCGCUCUUUUCCGUGGCGCCUUGGAGGCGUUCAGCUGCUUCAAGAUGAAGCUGAACAUCUCCUUCCCAGCCACUGGCUGCCAGAAACUCAUUGAAGUGGACGAUGAACGCAAACUUCGUACUUUUUAUGAGAAGCGUAUGGCCACAGAAGUUGCUGCUGACGCUCUGGGUGAAGAAUGGAAGGGUUAUGUGGUCCGAAUCAGUGGUGGGAACGACAAACAAGGUUUCCCCAUGAAGCAGGGUGUCUUGACCCAUGGCCGUGUCCGCCUGCUACUGAGUAAGGGGCAUUCCUGUUACAGACCAAGGAGAACGGGAGAAAGAAAGAGAAAAUCAGUUCGUGGUUGCAUUGUGGAUGCCAAUCUGAGCGUUCUCAACUUGGUUAUUGUAAAAAAAGGAGAGAAGGAUAUUCCUGGACUGACUGAUACUACAGUGCCUCGCCACCUGGGCCCCAAAAGAGCUAGCAGAAUCCACAAACUUUUCAAUCUCUCUAAAGAAGAUGACAUCCGCCAGUAUGUUGUAAGAAAGCCCUUAAACAAAGAAGGUAAGAAACCUAGGACCAAAGCACCCAAGAUUCAGCGUCUUGUUACUCCACGUGUCCUGCAGCACAAACGGCGGCGUAUUGCUCUGAAGAAGCAGCGUACUAAGAAAAACAAGGAAGAGGCUGCAGAAUAUGCUAAACUUUUGGCCAAAAGAAUGAAGGAGGCUAAGGAGAAGCGCCAGGAACAAAUUGCAAAGAGACGCAGACUUUCCUCUCUGCGAGCUUCUACUUCUAAGUCUGAAUCCAGUCAGAAAUAAGAUUUUUUGAGUAACAAAUAAAUAAGAUCAGACUCGGAAAAAAAAAAAAAAAA
Macaca mulatta (Rhesus monkey) is the source of this 1488-nucleotide RNA transcript. It is a transcript of the gene named small ribosomal subunit protein eS6 pseudogene, with no coding region annotated. Lineage: Eukaryota; Metazoa; Chordata; Mammalia; Primates; Cercopithecidae. The record is from RefSeq and is a predicted model, not a curated record.